GAUGAACGCUAGCGGCAGGCCUAAUACAUGCAAGUCAAGGGGCCAGUAAUGGCACCGGCGGACGGGUGCGUAACGCGUACACAACGUACCUUUGGGUGGGGGAUAGCAUCGGGAAACUGGUGGUAAUACCCCAUGGUAUUGGAGACUGGCAUCAGUUUUCAAUUAAAGACUACGCCCAAAGAUCGGUGUGCGUCUGAUUAGCUAGUUGGUAGGGUAACGGCCUACCAAGGCGACGACGGGUAGCCGGCCUGAGAGGGCGACCGGCCACACUGGGACUGAGACACGGCCCAGACUCCUACGGGAGGCAGCAGUGGGGAAUAUUGGACAAUGGGCGAAAGCCUGAUCCAGCAAUGCCGCGUGAGUGAUGAAGGCCUUCGGGUCGUAAAGACUCUUUACCAGGGAUGAUAAUGACAGUACCUGGAGAAUAAGCUCCGGCUAACUCCGUG
RNAcentral lists this ribosomal RNA (446 nucleotides) under uncultured bacterium. RNAcentral describes it as "bacterial SSU rRNA". It matches the Rfam family "Bacterial small subunit ribosomal RNA", at positions 28 to 507 of the family's 1533-position model. The record is from RNAcentral.